GAAAAACUAGUUAAAAAAUAACAUAAGAUUGUCAGUCUUAAAUUACCAAACUGUGUUUUUUA
Molecule: transfer RNA, 62 nt
Filed under: Alectorobius puertoricensis
Lineage: Eukaryota; Metazoa; Arthropoda; Arachnida; Ixodida; Argasidae
Description: tRNA-Asp
Source: RNAcentral